Molecule: small nuclear RNA, 107 nt
Organism: Mastomys coucha (southern multimammate mouse)
Lineage: Eukaryota; Metazoa; Chordata; Mammalia; Rodentia; Muridae
Source: RefSeq, a predicted model, not a curated record
GUGCCCGCUUCAGCAGCACAUACUCUAAAAUUGGAAUGAUACAGAGAAGAUUAGCAUGGCCCCUGCACAAGGACAGCGUGCAAAUUCCUGAGACGCUCCAUAACUUU